CCUACGGGAGGCAGCAGUGGGGAAUAUUGCACAAUGGAGGGAACUCUGAUGCAGCGACGCCGCGUGAGUGAAGAAGUACUUCGUUAUGUAAAGCUCUAUCAGCAGGGAAGAACGUGACGGUACCUCAAAAAGAAGCUCCGGCUAAAUACGUGACAGCAGCCGCCGUAAUACGGAUGGAGCAAGCGUUUUCCGGAUUUACUGGGUGUAAAGGGAGAGUAGGUGGCAGAGCAAGUCCGAAGUGAAAACCCAAAGCUCAACUAUGGGAAUGCUUUAGAAAAUGCCCAGCUAGAGUGCAGGAGAGGCAAGUGGAAUUCCUAGUGUAGCGGUGAAAUGCGUAGAUAUUAGGGGGAACAACAGUGGCGAAGGCGGCUUGCUGGACUGUAACUGACAGUGAGGCUCGAAAGCGUGGGGAGCAAACAGGAUUAGAAACCCCAGUAGUC
Molecule: ribosomal RNA, 440 nt
Filed under: uncultured bacterium
Lineage: Bacteria
Description: partial 16S ribosomal RNA
Rfam family: Bacterial small subunit ribosomal RNA
Source: RNAcentral